UAGAAUAAACCAGGGUGGGCUGUCGACGUCGCAAGACUAGACGCCCGCCUUUAUUCAUCCUUCACACCUGUGCACUGUAGAGCCUCUCAAAGUCUUUAUUGACGGCGAGGGUUCGCCCUUUAUACAAACAAUAGUAGUCCUAAACGUAACGUCUUAUUAUAACCUAAUA
Molecule: unclassified non-coding RNA, 169 nt
Filed under: uncultured Cryptococcus
Lineage: Eukaryota; Fungi; Basidiomycota; Tremellomycetes
Description: sequence contains ITS1
Source: RNAcentral